RNAcentral lists this transfer RNA (76 nucleotides) under Acholeplasmatales bacterium. Its description in RNAcentral is "tRNA-Lys". It matches the Rfam family "tRNA". Rfam says of the family: Transfer RNA (tRNA) molecules are approximately 80 nucleotides in length. Their secondary structure includes four short double-helical elements and three loops (D, anti-codon, and T loops). Lineage: Bacteria; Bacillati; Mycoplasmatota; Mollicutes; Acholeplasmatales. The record is from RNAcentral.
GACCCGUUAGCUCAGUCGGUAGAGCAGUUGGCUUUUAACCAACGUGUCGAAGGUUCAAUUCCUUCACGGGUCACCA